This 1250-nucleotide ribosomal RNA is filed under the name Staphylococcus aureus. Its description in RNAcentral is "bacterial SSU rRNA". It matches the Rfam family "Bacterial small subunit ribosomal RNA", at positions 113 to 1329 of the family's 1533-position model. The record is from RNAcentral. Lineage: Bacteria; Bacillati; Bacillota; Bacilli; Caryophanales; Staphylococcaceae.
UCACGUGGAGUCCUACCAAUUAGACUGGGAUAACUUCGGGAAACCGGAGCUAAUACCGGAUAAUAUUUUGAACCGCAUGGUUCAAAAGUGAAAGACGGUCUUGCUGUCACUUAUAGAUGGAUCCGCGCUGCAUUAGCUAGUUGGUAAGGUAACGGCUUACACACAGGCAACGAUGCAUAGCCGACCUGAGAGGGUGAUCGGCCACACUGGAACUGAGCACACGGUCCAGACUCCCUACGGGAGGCAACGCAGUAGGGACAUCUUCCGCCAAAUGGGCGAAAGCCUGACGAGAGCAACGCCCGCGUGAGUGAUGAAGUGUCUUCGGAUCGUAAAACUUCUGUUAUUAGGGAAGAACAUAUUGUGUAAGUAAACUGUGCACAUCUUGACGGUACCUAAUCAAGAAAAGCCACGGCUAACUACGUGCCAGCAGCCGCGGUAAUACGUAGGUGGCAAGGCGUUAUCCGGAAAUUAUUGGGCGUAAAGGCGCGCGUAGGCGGUUUUUUAAGUCUGAUGUGAAAGCCCACGGCUCAACCGUGGAGGGUCAUUGGAAACUGGAAAACUUGAGUGCAGAAGAGGAAAGUGGAAUUCCAUGUGUAGCGGUGAAAUGCGCAGAGAUAUGGAGGAACACCAGUGGCGAAGGCGACCUUCGGGUCUGUAACUGACGCUGAUGUGCGAAAGCGUGGGGAUAAACUAGGCAUUAGAUUCCCUGGUAGUCCACGCCGUAAACGAUGAGUGCUAAGUGUUAGGGGGUUUCCGCCCCUUAGUGCUGCAGCUAACGCAUUAAGCACUCCGCCUGGGGAGUACGACCGCAAGGUUGAAACUCAAAGGAAUUGACGGGGACCCGCACAAGCGGUGGAGCAUGUGGUUUAAUUCGAAGCAACGCGAAGAACCUUACCAAAUCUUGACAUCCUUUGACAACUCUAGAGAUAGAGCCUUCCCCUUCGGGGGACAAAGUGACAGGUGGUGCAUGGUUGUCGUCAGCUCGUGUCGUGAGAUGUUGGGUUAAGUCCCGCAACGAGCGCAACCCUUAAGCUUAGUUGCCAUCAUUAAGUUGGGCACUCUAAGUUGACUGCCGGUGACAAACCGGAGGAAGGUGGGGAUGACGUCAAAUCAUCAUGCCCCUUAUGAUUUGGGCUACACACGUGCUACAAUGGACAAUACAAAGGGCAGCGAAACCGCGAGGUCAAGCAAAUCCCAUAAAGUUGUUCUCAGUUCGGAUUGUAGUCUGCAACUCGACUACAUGAAGCUGG